GAAGAACCUUACCUGGGCUUGAAGGAUUGGAGUCUGCAACUCGACUCCAUGAAGUUGGAAUCGCUAGUAAUCGCGGAUCAGCACGCCGCGGUGAAUACGUUCCCGGGUCUUGUACACNCCGCC
RNAcentral lists this ribosomal RNA (123 nucleotides) under uncultured bacterium. Its description in RNAcentral is "partial 16S ribosomal RNA". It matches the Rfam family "Bacterial small subunit ribosomal RNA", at positions 1275 to 1394 of the family's 1533-position model. The record is from RNAcentral.